AGUCUAGUAGAUAUUCCGGCGCUUUAGUAACAGAAAUCGAUAUAAUUACUUUAAUGCGUCACGUAGGGCACCGGUGACCUACAUGAC
Bombyx mori (domestic silkworm) is the source of this 87-nucleotide non-coding RNA. Lineage: Eukaryota; Metazoa; Arthropoda; Insecta; Lepidoptera; Bombycidae. The record is from RefSeq and is marked provisional.